GUGAGGAAUAUUGGUCAAUGGGCGAGAGCCUGAACCAGCCAAGUCGCGUGAAGGAAGAAGGAUCUAUGGUUCGUAAACUUCUUUUGCAGGGGAAUAAAGUGCGGGACGUGUCCUGUUUUGUAUGUACCCUGAGAAUAAGGAUCGGCUAACUCCGUGCCAGCAGCCGCGGUAAUACGGAGGAUCCGAGCGUUAUCCGGAUUUAUAGGGUUUAAAGGGUGCGUAGGUGGUUUGAUAAGUCAGCGGUGAAAGUUUGCAGCUUAACUGUAAAAAUGCCGUUGAAACUGUCGGACUUGAGUGUAAAUGAGGUAGGCGGAAUGCGUGGUGUAGCGGUGAAAUGCAUAGAUAUCACGCAGAACUCCGAUUGCGAAGGCAGCUUACUAAGCUACAACUGACACUGAAGCACGAAAGCGUGGGGAUCAAACAGGAUUAGAAACCCUUGUAGUCC
This 445-nucleotide ribosomal RNA is filed under the name uncultured bacterium. Its description in RNAcentral is "partial 16S ribosomal RNA". It matches the Rfam family "Bacterial small subunit ribosomal RNA", at positions 354 to 796 of the family's 1533-position model. The record is from RNAcentral.